Molecule: long non-coding RNA, 421 nt
Filed under: Mytilus galloprovincialis (Mediterranean mussel)
Lineage: Eukaryota; Metazoa; Mollusca; Bivalvia; Mytilida; Mytilidae
Source: RNAcentral
UAUAAAUAAAUGUUGACUAUUUACUAUUAGUAUCAAACAUUCAAGUCCAACAAAAAUAAAAUAAACAAUGACAUAACAAAAUAUACAACACAUUGUUUAUAAUUUUCUAUUAAAAAAAAAUCAUGUUCCUGAAGAAGGCAAUUAAUAUCAAGAUUUGCAUUGCUAACUCACUUGUUAGCAAAAAGCAAAAUGUUAUCAAAUAUUACAGUAGUUAUCUCCCUUACACUGCUCUGACUAGAAUUUGAAAAUGUGAGUGCCCUAGGUUUUUUUUCAAUUUUAUCAUCGAAAAAAAUCAUUUCAUACAUUUUUGACAGCAUACUUUCUUAUUACAAUCCCCAAACCUAUAUCCAAAACACACUGAAAUCACAUAAAGAAUAAAGCACUAUCUGGUCUAGCACUGGACAAGGUAUGUUCUGGACCA